This 500-nucleotide ribosomal RNA is filed under the name uncultured bacterium. RNAcentral describes it as "partial 16S ribosomal RNA". It matches the Rfam family "Bacterial small subunit ribosomal RNA", at positions 30 to 523 of the family's 1533-position model. The record is from RNAcentral.
AUUGAACGCUGGCGGAAUGCUUUACACAUGCAAGUCGAACGGCAGCACGGACUUCGGUCUGGUGGCGAGUGGCGAACGGGUGAGUAAUGUAUCGGAACGUGCCCAGUCGUGGGGGAUAACGUAGUGAAAAUUACGCUAAUACCGCAUACGAUCUAUGGAUGAAAGCGGGGGAUCGCAAGACCUCGCGCGAUUGGAGCGGCCGAUAUCAGAUUAGGUAGUUGGUGGGGUAAAGGCCCACCAAGCCAACGAUCUGUAGCUGGUCUGAGAGGACGACCAGCCACACUGGAACUGAGACACGGUCCAGACUCCUACGGGAGGCAGCAGUGGGGAAUUUUGGACAACGGGCGAAAGCCUGAUCCAGCCAUUCCGCGUGCAGGAUGAAGGCCCUCGGGCUGUAAACUGCUUUUGUACAGAACGAAAAGGUUUCUACUAAUACUAGGAGCUCAUGACGGUACUGUAAGAAUAAGCACCGGCUAACUACGUGCCAGCCGCCGCAGUAA